This 500-nucleotide ribosomal RNA is filed under the name uncultured Acidobacteriota bacterium. RNAcentral describes it as "bacterial SSU rRNA". It matches the Rfam family "Bacterial small subunit ribosomal RNA", at positions 355 to 871 of the family's 1533-position model. Lineage: Bacteria; Pseudomonadati; Acidobacteriota. The record is from RNAcentral.
UCGGGAAUUUUGCGCAAUGGACGAAAGUCUGACGCAGCAACGCCGCGUGAGGGAUGACGGCCUUCGGGUUGUAAACCUCUUUUGUCAGGGAAGAUGAUGACGGUACCUGGCGAAUAAGCCACGGCUAACUACGUGCCAGCAGCCGCGGUAAUACGUAGGUGGCAAGCGUUGUCCGGAUUUACUGGGCGUAAAGAGCGCGCAGGCGGUCGUUCAAGUCGCGUGUGAAAGCCCCCGGCUCAACUGGGGAGGGUCACGCGAUACUGAUCGACUCGAAGGCAGGAGAGGGUAGUGGAAUUCCCGGUGUAGUGGUGAAAUGCGUAGAUAUCGGGAGGGACACCAGUGGCGAAGGCGACUACCUGGCCUGUUCUUGACGCUGAGGCGCGAAGGCUAGGGGAGCAAACGGGAUUAGAUACCCCGGUAGUCCUAGCCGUAAACGAUGGACACUAGGUGUUGGUGGUAUCAACCCCGCCAGUGCCGAAGCUAACGCGUUAAGUGUCCCG